This 411-nucleotide long non-coding RNA is filed under the name Homo sapiens (human). RNAcentral's name for it is "HSALNT0280696". Lineage: Eukaryota; Metazoa; Chordata; Mammalia; Primates; Hominidae. The record is from RNAcentral.
GAAGGACUCCUCGACCCUGAAGAGCUCCUCUAGCAAUUCCGAUGUGAAAAGAAGAUGGAUGGAGAAGCACUGAUUCAGCCAUGGCUGACAUGUCGGAGUUGGAAUGGACAGUGCCCGGACCUCACAGUCUCAGAGAACUGGAGAAGAGUAAAGCUGAAGAGGGCAUCAUCUGGUUACAAAUGACAAGUCCAGGGCUCCAGGUGAGUGCUUUGUGUAAGAGGAGACUGCUGCGUGGUGAUACGAUUAAAACUCAUGUCCCCCACCUCCUGGUUCCAUGUCGCACAUGGUGCCCAUGACACUCUUUUUGUUUUGAGACAGAGUCUCGCUCUUUCGCCCAGGCCGGACUGCAGUGGCGCGAUCUCGGCUCACUGCAAGCUCCGCCUUCCUGGUUCACACCAUUCUCCUGCCUCG